ACAGUGCUUACUGAAUAGCUUAUCAACUUGAUAACAUCCCAGCAUCAUACAGUAAUUUCCAGGAGGUAGGGAAACGAAUGAAGAGACCACCAGAGCAGAGCCAGUUGCUUCAUAAUACAAUGUAUUGCAAGCAAAAUAAAGAUAUGCCACCAUUAUUAAUAAAAUUUAAAAAGUACAUGUUUCUAUUUUUUAGGAAAUCAGUCUAAACUCUAGGAGCAGAAAGCAAGUGAAUGAGGCUACAGCUUUUGGAGGCCAUACUAACAAAAGAGUUAGAUUCUCUCAUUUCUCUGAUUAUACAGAUUAUGCUCCUCCCUCAAAGUGUCCACUGAAAGAGGACAGAGGAGCCUGUCCAUUGCCCUGGUGCUAUUAUGGUACUAUUAUUAAUACCCUGGUACUAUUAUGUGCAUGUAGUACAUAAUUGUAAAUUCAAAUUGUAUUUGGAACUGCUGCUAACUAAAUUUUUAAAUUAUUUAAGACAGAUUCAAUCAAAACUCUGCAGGCCUGGUAUUAGGAGCAAUACAAAAUUGACAUUGAAAAGUUGAAGGAACAAUCACUCUCCAUCCCCUCCCCUGUCAAUGUCUGAGCUGCUGCCAACAUCCAGGAGGUCACCAUGGGCUAUUUCCAGCUGGCUCAGUUUAUCAGAGCAAUCCUCUCUCCUACCAACCAGCCAUUAGUCAUCUCUCCUGUUCUCCCACUGUCCCAGUCUGUAUCCAGAGCUAACUCAAUCACAAGGUGGCAGAUUUCAAAGAGAAAUUAAAGUAUUUAUUAGAUGCCCAUCCCCAGAAUGUUCUAAAAGAUAGAUACAUAUCUCAAGGGGGCAGGGCGUUGUAGAUAAAAAGAAAUUUUUUCUUAAAUUAUAUUGAUACUUUAUAAAAUGAAACAUAAUAUUUUAAGUGA
Molecule: long non-coding RNA, 897 nt
Organism: Amphimedon queenslandica
Lineage: Eukaryota; Metazoa; Porifera; Demospongiae; Haplosclerida; Niphatidae
Exons: 2
Source: RefSeq, a predicted model, not a curated record